UACGAAGGGGGCUAGCGUUGUUCGGAAUCACUGGGCGUAAAGGGCGCGUAGGCGGCCGAUCAAGUCGGGGGUGAAAGCCUGUGGCUCAACCACAGAAUUGCCUUCGAUACUGUUUGGCUCGAGACCGGAAGAGGUAAGUGGAACUGCGAGUGUAGAGGUGAAAUUCGUAGAUAUUCGCAAGAACACCAGUGGCGAAGGCGGCUUACUGGUCCGGUUCUGACGCUGAGGCGCGAAAGCGUGGGGAGCAAACAGG
Molecule: ribosomal RNA, 253 nt
Filed under: uncultured bacterium
Lineage: Bacteria
Description: partial 16S ribosomal RNA
Rfam family: Bacterial small subunit ribosomal RNA
Source: RNAcentral